GCCUCGUGCACAGGGACAAAACUGAGGUGAAAAUGACGAGUUUUGUGGGCCAGCCACAACACAGAGGAUGUAAGGCCGUUACAAGACAACAUGGAAUUCCCCAGUAUCUCCAUGGCAACGUUCUAUCCACUUGCUGGCGUCGACACGAGGCACGGGCGAGAGGCGAGGUCGCGGCGGUUUCUUGUGGGUCAUUUUCGGUACAGCUCCGGCGCUUGAAGCCCCGUCCGAUGGACUGGUUUACCAGUGCGACCUUUUGGCUGGGUGUUGGGCAUUUGACCCACGUCCUAAUGUGGGGCAUUGUCGCUAUUGUUGAAGCCUACUUGAGUGGCCAGAAAUCCAGGGCAUCCAGAACAAUCCACCACCUCCUCCCGCGGCAAACGCAGCUUUAGCCGUUGUUGCCCAGGAAGAAUCUGAGGAAAGUGACCGUUAGACUCUGGAACCCUAGGACACCAGUCCAGGAGAGAUGGCCUAUUUCAGACAAUGCAUCUAAGGAUGAAUAUAUCAGUUGUGUUCACUGAAAUAUUAAAACACAACUAAUGUUAGAAAAAUUGUA
Long non-coding RNA from Sceloporus undulatus (fence lizard), 553 nucleotides. RefSeq lists it as uncharacterized. The transcript is spliced from 2 exons. Lineage: Eukaryota; Metazoa; Chordata; Lepidosauria; Squamata; Phrynosomatidae. The record is from RefSeq and is a predicted model, not a curated record.